This 23555-nucleotide long non-coding RNA is filed under the name Brassica napus (rape). RNAcentral describes it as "long non-coding RNA (BNAP_LNC000290)". The record is from RNAcentral. Lineage: Eukaryota; Viridiplantae; Streptophyta; Magnoliopsida; Brassicales; Brassicaceae.
AAUAGAGGAAGGAGAUCCUUCCGGAGCCAGAGACGGAGAGCCGGCGGAAGAAGAUGUUGGUGCCAUUGAUCCCGACGGUGAAGAACCCGGAGCAGAGGACGGAGGUGAUGGAGGAGAAGUCAUCGGAGAAACAGGGGAAGAAGACUCAGGUGACAUAGAUCCCGGCGGAGAAGUCACCGGAGCAGAGGACGGAGAAACAGGGGAUGAGGACUUAGGUGACAUGGAUCCCGGCGGAGAAGUCACCGGCGCAGAGGAGGGAGAAACAGGGGAGGAUGAUUUAGGUGGCAUAGGCGCUGGUGGAGAAGUAGCCGGAGAAACAGGGGAAGAAGAAGACUUAGGUGGCAUUGAACCUGGCGGAGAGUUUCCCGGCGUGGAGGCUUGAGGAGGCGGAGUCGAAGUUCUGACAGACAAGACAACGACGGUCCGAUCCAUACGAUUCGGAUCGACCGAUCUUCUCCUGAAAUCGACCGCUCUACCUCACCCGGAUCGACCGAUCUCUUACAUGGAUCGCCCUUUCUUGAUCGGGUUCUUGGUGUUACAUCCGUCGUAGUCAGCUUUGCUGACCUCUAGAACAGAGUCAGCUCCCUUGGCGUAGUUAAAAUCUGCAAGAAAAAUAAUCAAACUGAGUCUCGGACAAAAACUCCACCAAAAGUAACUACUCCAUGACAAGUAAGAAAGAAUAGUUUACAGAGAGUGUCGUGUACUAGGAAACGGCUUUUUCCAGCCCAAGAUCCAUAAUCUUCCGGGGGAUUUGGAACCCACGCGCCGCUACCUCCGACUCCGAACCUCCGUGCGUCGGAGAUGGUUGAGAAAGAGAGGAGGGCCGUGGAGAAGAAGAAGAAGAAACAAAGGCUUUUGGUUCUUGGAAACUCCAUGGUUAUGAGACAAAUGGGAUUGUGUGUGUGAGACUAUGGAUAUAUAGAAAUAGGAAUAGGCUAAAGGAAAGUGAAGUGAAGCUUUUUGUCUUUUAGAUAGGGGAGAUGUAACGUCUAUGGUAAUACGUGUUUAAAAAUUGAAUCUCGUGUCAGUCUUCGUUAAAAGAAGAUACUUUCUUCUUGUAUCCCCACCGACGUGUUUAAUUUUUUUUUUUUUGGGAUUUGAAAAUCUUAUAUCCUUUUGGUAAAGGAAACAAACAUUUGGUACUACGAGUUUAUUACGCGUUUAGAGAGCUAUAGAUUGUGACAAAAGAAUCGGAUUCAAACACCAAUCUCAGAAGAAGUAAUGUUCAUUCUUGAGGAUAUAUGUCUAACAAUCGAAUCAUAUACUUCCAUUUAGCAUGUAUAUGAGAAUAAUGUAAAGUCUAUUUAUAUCUGCAUCUGGUUCCAUUUUCUCUUUUAGAGAAAGUUUUAUCUUUACGAUGCAUGCGAUCAUUAUUGUAGUUGUAGAGAAUAUCUGAAUACAAAGAUUUUGAAUUGUGGACUGGGCUUAGGUAUGGGCCAUGAGUUUGAUUUCUCAAGUGCCUACUUCUUUACACAUUGAGUUACAACAACAAUGCUAAAUAUGUUGUUGUUGGUAGUAUCAUUACCAUCACUAGCCUCUCGUUGAAGACUUGAAGUAACAGAAGUCUAAACAGAUUGAUGCAUCAUGCAUAUAAAGAAUAUUGAUCGAAGAAUGAUCAAGGGUUUCAUAUUUGAUCAUACAGAUGGUAAGGUCUCCAAUGUGCCAAUGAGGCAUGCGUCUGACGACUCAGCCAAAUAUGGAUUAAACGAGGCAUCCAUGUAUUGUAGCAAAUAAGGAGCGGAGAUGCAAGCUAGAGAAUGCAGCAGUGGGUGUUGAGGAUAGAACGGUUAAAGGCCAAAAUCAGUUACCAGCAGGGGCGGAUCUACAGUGUUAGGUUCGGGGGCUAUAUUAUUUAAAAACCAUUGGAAUAGCUGACUAUGGUAGAUUAGUUGGUAAAGUUGCCCCUGGUAAAAUCCUGCUCUUCACGGAUUCGAAUCAACACAUAAGUGUUUCAUUAUGGGACACAUUUUGCACUUCUUAACAGUUUAAGGUACAUGUUGUUGGAAGGACACUUUUUUCAUGAUUUGAUAAAUUUCGGACCAAAUUAUCCUUCACUGGUAGAACCGAAAUAUGAAGCUUAUUAGAGUUUUUUUUUUUAAUUAUGUCUAGUUAGUGGGGACCAAAGUGUUAUUAGAUUUCAUUUCCUAUUUUAUUUUUAUUUUCUCAGAUUUUAAGAUACACAUAAAAUAUAAUUGUUACAAUAAAUUGUAAUUUCUUUUUCUUGAUAUUUUAAGAUAUAUUUUCAUAUAUAUAUUUUAUAUAUUUUUAAAAUUAUAUAAAAAUACAUGGAUAUAAAAAUUGUGGACGAAAAAUGUUGUCCAAGAACUAAAAAUGUUACAAAGAAAUAAGAUGAAAGAAACAUACACAACAAUUAAAAUGUUAUCCAAGAACUAAAAAUGUUACAAAGAAGUUAGAUGAAAGAGGCACACACAAGAUGAAGAUAUAUGUGUGUGAAUAUAGACAAAAGUAUUGUGGACAGACGAGUGUAGACGUCGGGGUUGUGGACAAAAAUAAACAGAAAACAUGUGGAUGUGGAUGGCUGUGAGUUCUGCCCAUGAGUUUUACCAGCAUACCUCAGAACCAUUUUCCAAUUCCAAAUCACCGACUUUCAAACCUAUGCAAAUCACCAUCUUUCAAGCCCUAAUCUCAAUUAUAUCUUGGAAUGAUACCAAUCUCUCUCCAAAUACAGAUUCACCAUGUAAAUUUCUAUUAUCCGCCACCACCACUGUAUUUACCCCGUUCUUUACCCUAAACUUUGUCUUGUAUCCAAAAGUUCUUCCAGUUUCCUCUUUGCGAAAUUGCGGCCAUACAGCACCAGUUUUUUACUUUGAUUUUGCCAUGCUUUGAAAUAGUGAGAAAGAGGCGAGAAUAAUCGUCGAAGAAUAUCAGAAAAUUGAACAACCAAACUCAUGGAAAAGAAAUGAAAAGAUGGAGAUGAGAUUACAGAUUCAUAAUCGGCGGAGCAACCGAUUCUUGGUGUUAUACGAGAAACUGAGGAUGAAGAAGAAGAGGGUUCGAGGAGAUUAGAGUUAGAAAUUGGUGUUUGAGAAAUUUGGGAAAGCAAAUCUGAACUUUGAAAUAAAGUUGGAGAGAUAGUAUAUGUUAGUUUUCGAGAAGUAUAAAACUGGUUUAUACAUUUCUUUUUUUUUAAUUAUUUUUAAUUGAUAAUAGUUGAAAAAAGACAUUUUAGUUAGAAGAUAUAUGAUUAGAAAAGAAUGUAGUUAGUUUAGGGACAUAAAUGACAUUGCACAAAGAGGAAAUGUUGUUCCAACAAAAAGUGUUUUUUUGUGCAAUUUGAAAGAUAAAAAGUGUGCCAAGAGUAAAAAAUUCUUUUAUUAUUGAGAAGUUAACAUUAAAGGACACUUUAUGACUUUCGUUUGCAGUAGAAGAUACAUUGUGGUAGUAGGACAUAAUGUUGGGACAGCUGUAUUAAUCUGGACCAAAAAGACCUUACACUUGUGAUAGAAAGAGAAUGUCUCCUUUAAAGAAUCAACCGUAAAGAAACCAAAUUACUUUCGGAUUGUAAUAAAUGAAAAAGUUUCGAAAUUAAAAGUAGGUAUGGGUUUAUGGGAUUCUUUUGGGACGUUGGAUUAGCUUUUAGUUACAAGAUCUAAUGACUGAGAAACACUUAUCAGUUUUAGUCUUAAGAUUUAAUGGCUGAGGACAAAUCCAUGGAUGUGGAUAUAGGUUUGUAGAUAGAUAAAUGUUAAGAGAAUGGGUUAUAGACGAGAAUAAGGAAACAAAAAGAUAUUUAAUUUGACUUUAUUUUUUUAAGUAUUUUAGUUUCGCUCAAUAGUUUUUCUUUGUUAUUAUCUCGUAUUAUGAUAUGUAAAUUUAAUAUAUAAUAUAUGUAGUAAAUUAUAUUUUUUUUUCUUCUAUGUUUUGAGAUCCAUAUGUAUAUAUUAAUUUUGAUAUUUUACUUUUUAUAAAAUUUAAAAUUGAAUUAAGUGGACACAUCAUUGUGGACAUUGUGUUGUGGACAAUGUGUUGUGGACAAUGUGUUGUGGAUGGUGCAAUUUUAACAUAUUCAUAUUUUAAUUUUUAUAAAAUAUAAAACUGAUUUAAGUGGACACACUAUCAUGGACAAUGUAUUGUGGACAAUGCAAUUUGAGAUAAUGUAUUGUGACGACAAUGCAAUUUGAAAGAAUGUAUUGUGACAGUGCAGUUGAAAAGAAUGAGUGAUGGACAGUGCUAGUUAUGAAUGGUGUGUAUGUGGAAGUGUAUGUGCAGUUUGAAAGAAUGAGUUAUGGACGGUGCUAGUUAUGGAUGGUGUGUAUGUGGAAGUGUACGUUGAUUCGUAUAUAGUUUAUUAGUUAUUCAUGUAUUUCUGAACAGGUUUGGUACAUUGUGAAACAGAGUGGUAUGUUGAUGGAUCGUCUUGUUUGGUUGGGAAAAUGAGCUCGGACUGAGCUCAUAUUUGGCAGGAACCUUAUGGACUCGUGGAUAUAUGUUCAACUAUAAGGAGAGAGGGUCUGGAGUUCGGGAACAUGGAAAACGAGCGGUACAACGGAUCUGUCCAAAGUUGAGAAAAUGAAAACUUGUCAUCAAGUGGCUAAGGUGAGGGAUUUAUGGGACCAUAGUUCAUAUUUUUCUGUUAUACUACAUGAGUUAUAUUAUGUAGGCUUAGAUCUGAUUGUUAUUUAGGAAUUCUAUGAUUAUAUGAUUAUAUGGUGAAGGUUGCAAAGUGUGUUACACUUAAUAAGGUUAACUUUACUUGCUAUCUCCUUGGACUUGUUAUUAGUGAAAUUGUUAUAGGGAACAUUGUUUUGAGAUGGUUAAGCUUUCUCAUUUGCUUGUCUAGUGUAUUGGUCUAUGCCUUGGUUUGUUUGAUUCCUUGUAUCUUUAUUGUAUCCUCCAUUGAUGGAGUUGAACUCUUCUAUAUUUCAAUGAAAGUAGUUUGAUAAAAAAAAAAGUAGGUUUUAAAGUACAUUUAAGUUUCAAUGAAAAUAGUUUUAAGAAACCUUAAUUAAGAAACUUGCAUUGGAGCACAUAAAUAUUCAAAUCUCUUAACUAAGUCUCUUAAUUCACUAUUACUACUUAAAAGUAUUAAAAAAAAAUAAGAGACUCAAAAUGGAUCUUUGGGAUAACGAUGCUCUAAAGACACCAAGGCACCUAGUCUCUGAAGAGACAUUAACUAAUCAGAGAGAAAAAAACAAAUUUAGGUUUCACGAAAUAUUAAUUAAUUAGUCAUGUCCUCUAUUGCUUUUGGAAACAAAAAGGGUGUCAUUUCUCAGCUUUGACUACUACAUGACUAGAGUCUAGAUUAGCUGAAUCUGAAUCAAUAGUACAAGGUAAAAAUAUAUAUACACAGUCAACCAAUGUUACACAAAUUUACAAACUACCUUAAGAAACAAACUUCAGUUUCGAAAUUACGGUCUUAAAUGCGAACAAAUCACAGAAGCAAUGUAUACGCUGUUUCUAGCCGUCUGAAGUAUCGCGGUCAUUUUGUUAUUUUGUUAACAGUUAAAUUAUACUAAUAUAUUCAAAUCAUAAAAACAAGUUCACCAAUAGCAUAAACAUAUUAUAAUUCAUGUGGAAACAAGAGAGUAGUUAUACGAGCAAUACAUUUUUUUAUAUGAUAUAUCAUCAAAAUAUAUCUACAGUAGAAACUAUCUAAAUUAAUCUAAUAUAAAAACGAUAAUUUAGAGAGUUGCAAUUCAUAAACGAAUUAUUGAACCAAAUUUACGUUGCAUAAAGGCUAAAUUAAAGCAAUAUGUUUUUGUUUUCUUCAUCAUUAGCAUACUUUAAAGAUGGUACUCCAGUGAUCGAUUCUUCAAAUUGUUUUGUCUUGUCUUAUUCUAAGUGAAGUUGGUGGAACCUCUCUUUUUAUGUUUUCUGUUAUUAUAAAUUUUAACUAGCCACACAUUCAAUUUUUGAGGUAUUUUUAAUUUUUCAAAAUAUAUACAGUUAUUUUAGAAUGUACAUAUAAUAAUAUCCUUUGCACAUUAGUUUGUAAAAUUUACAGAAAAUCAAAUACUUUUACCACUUCAAACGUUUACGUUACUUAUAUAAUAACAUAAUCGUAUACUGUAAAUUCAUUUCAUUUCUUUAAUAUUUUUACUACUUUUUCUAAUAUAUAUGUGAUGCUUAAAAUAUAUGAGUGAUAUUUUGGAAUAGGCUCAUUUAACUCAAUAUCAGAUUUAUUUUCAUAUAUAUAUUUUAUAUAUUUUUAAAAUUAUAUAAAAAUACAUGGAUAUAAAAAUUGUGGACGAAAAAUGUUGUCCAAGAACUAAAAAUGUUACAAAGAAAUAAGAUGAAAGAAACAUACACAACAAUUAAAAUGUUAUCCAAGAACUAAAAAUGUUACAAAGAAGUUAGAUGAAAGAGGCACACACAAGAUGAAGAUAUAUGUGUGUGAAUAUAGACAAAAGUAUUGUGGACAGACGAGUGUAGACGUCGGGGUUGUGGACAAAAAUAAACAGAAAACAUGUGGAUGUGGAUGGCUGUGAGUUCUGCCCAUGAGUUUUACCAGCAUACCUCAGAACCAUUUUCCAAUUCCAAAUCACCGACUUUCAAACCUAUGCAAAUCACCAUCUUUCAAGCCCUAAUCUCAAUUAUAUCUUGGAAUGAUACCAAUCUCUCUCCAAAUACAGAUUCACCAUGUAAAUUUCUAUUAUCCGCCACCACCACUGUAUUUACCCCGUUCUUUACCCUAAACUUUGUCUUGUAUCCAAAAGUUCUUCCAGUUUCCUCUUUGCGAAAUUGCGGCCAUACAGCACCAGUUUUUUACUUUGAUUUUGCCAUGCUUUGAAAUAGUGAGAAAGAGGCGAGAAUAAUCGUCGAAGAAUAUCAGAAAAUUGAACAACCAAACUCAUGGAAAAGAAAUGAAAAGAUGGAGAUGAGAUUACAGAUUCAUAAUCGGCGGAGCAACCGAUUCUUGGUGUUAUACGAGAAACUGAGGAUGAAGAAGAAGAGGGUUCGAGGAGAUUAGAGUUAGAAAUUGGUGUUUGAGAAAUUUGGGAAAGCAAAUCUGAACUUUGAAAUAAAGUUGGAGAGAUAGUAUAUGUUAGUUUUCGAGAAGUAUAAAACUGGUUUAUACAUUUCUUUUUUUUUAAUUAUUUUUAAUUGAUAAUAGUUGAAAAAAGACAUUUUAGUUAGAAGAUAUAUGAUUAGAAAAGAAUGUAGUUAGUUUAGGGACAUAAAUGACAUUGCACAAAGAGGAAAUGUUGUUCCAACAAAAAGUGUUUUUUUGUGCAAUUUGAAAGAUAAAAAGUGUGCCAAGAGUAAAAAAUUCUUUUAUUAUUGAGAAGUUAACAUUAAAGGACACUUUAUGACUUUCGUUUGCAGUAGAAGAUACAUUGUGGUAGUAGGACAUAAUGUUGGGACAGCUGUAUUAAUCUGGACCAAAAAGACCUUACACUUGUGAUAGAAAGAGAAUGUCUCCUUUAAAGAAUCAACCGUAAAGAAACCAAAUUACUUUCGGAUUGUAAUAAAUGAAAAAGUUUCGAAAUUAAAAGUAGGUAUGGGUUUAUGGGAUUCUUUUGGGACGUUGGAUUAGCUUUUAGUUACAAGAUCUAAUGACUGAGAAACACUUAUCAGUUUUAGUCUUAAGAUUUAAUGGCUGAGGACAAAUCCAUGGAUGUGGAUAUAGGUUUGUAGAUAGAUAAAUGUUAAGAGAAUGGGUUAUAGACGAGAAUAAGGAAACAAAAAGAUAUUUAAUUUGACUUUAUUUUUUUAAGUAUUUUAGUUUCGCUCAAUAGUUUUUCUUUGUUAUUAUCUCGUAUUAUGAUAUGUAAAUUUAAUAUAUAAUAUAUGUAGUAAAUUAUAUUUUUUUUUCUUCUAUGUUUUGAGAUCCAUAUGUAUAUAUUAAUUUUGAUAUUUUACUUUUUAUAAAAUUUAAAAUUGAAUUAAGUGGACACAUCAUUGUGGACAUUGUGUUGUGGACAAUGUGUUGUGGACAAUGUGUUGUGGAUGGUGCAAUUUUAACAUAUUCAUAUUUUAAUUUUUAUAAAAUAUAAAACUGAUUUAAGUGGACACACUAUCAUGGACAAUGUAUUGUGGACAAUGCAAUUUGAGAUAAUGUAUUGUGACGACAAUGCAAUUUGAAAGAAUGUAUUGUGACAGUGCAGUUGAAAAGAAUGAGUGAUGGACAGUGCUAGUUAUGAAUGGUGUGUAUGUGGAAGUGUAUGUGCAGUUUGAAAGAAUGAGUUAUGGACGGUGCUAGUUAUGGAUGGUGUGUAUGUGGAAGUGUACGUUGAUUCGUAUAGGUGAUGACCAUGAUCUACUAAAACAACUAACCAUUUAGAACAAUAACAUUGAAAAUAAAGACACACACUGAUAUAGUUCUUUUAAAAGAGAAGAACAACAAAUAAUCAUUUAUGACAACAUGCUCAAAACAGCUUAACAUUGAUGAAGUAAUUCUUGAUACAACAAAACAUAUAUUGAUGAAAAUUUUCCAAGUCUAGGUGUGUGCACCUAUCUUUGAUUCCUCACCACUUCACAAUUUGUCUGACCACUGCUCGUCACCCAACCACAUAACCCCCAUCCACACAUCGCCCGAACACACACUAUGCAACAACUCCACUCCUGACCACACAUCAUCCGUCCACCUAACCUCUGACCAGGAAAUAACAUUGAAAAUAAAGACACACAGUGAUAUAGUUUCUUUAAAAGAGAAGAUCAACAAAUAAUCAUUUAUGACAACAUGCUCAAAACAACUUAACACUGAUGAAAUAGUUCUUGAUACAACAAAACAUAUAUUGAUGAAAUUUUUCCAAGUCUAGGUGUGUGUACAAGAGAGAUGUGGAGUUGUGUGGUCAGGAGUGGAGUUGUUGUGAAGUGUGUGUUCGGGCGAUGUGUAGAUGGGGGUUAUGUGGUUGGGCGACGAGCAGUGGUCAGACAAAAUGUGAAGUGGUGAGGAAUCAAGGAUAGGUGCUGCGGACGGUAUGUUCUGAUCACUGCUGAGAGGGGCAUAUUGCUGGAGCUCAUAUUGGCUGACUACAGGAAAUUGAGAACCGACAUAGACGUAUUUCCUCAUCUGGACAUCAUGUGAAUGUAACAGCAUAAGAGCGAAUUACAUAAACUUGUUCAUGUGACUACGUAGAGGCUUACACAAUAUGAAGAUAUAUGUGUGUGGAUAUAGACAAAAGUGUUGUGGACAAAUGAAGUUGUACGAGUUUCGUGGACCCAAUAAUCUUGAAUAAAGAUUGUUGAAAGACAAUGUGCAAUAAGACUUGUUUUUACAACUUUUUCCAAUCAUAUAGUUCGCUGUCUUGUCUCUGAUUUAAAACAGAAAGAAGUAUAUACAAGGUUAUUAAUCCUACAAAAAGUUUCGUGGGCAACUUCUUGUGGACGAGUUCUUUUUCAAUUUCCAGCUCUCCGACAUCCAUUUCAAUGCACCAUGAGAAGAAACAGAGUCUUUGAGUGAAACGGUGUUUCUGGAUGGCUCCGCCGUGUGAACUGCCAUGACGAGGUUAACGGACUUAGAUUUGACAGAGUGAUGAACAGUGAAGGAGGAUUGACGGUUGACGUGACGGUGAGAAAGGCCGCCGUAGAGAGAUCUAGUGGAGAGAGAGGAGGCGUUGGAAAGCUAUUGAUUUUUUUUCUCUGAGUUUGAUUUGAUUUUUAGAAAGAAAAUGAUAUGAAGACGAUUGAUGAAAGAAGAACAAUUUAUAAUUAUAAGAAGAGAUACAGAUGAUUUGACCGAAAAAAAGAGAUACAGAUGAAGACAAUUAAUGAAAGAAGAACAAUUUAUAAUUAUAUAGAGAAAUACAAUAGUUGGUUCGUGUCUUUUAAGAAUUUUUUUUCAGAUAAAUCUGUAAUAAAACGAAAAACCCAUAAAUCUGUCAAAAAAGUUAGAAGUCAGUCACGUACAUUGUUUAGUUGAAAUAUAUAAGUUAGCUUUAGAAAGUUAAGUUGGAAGGUAUAAUAGACAAAGAAUAAGAUGAAAGUGUGUCUUAUGUGGGAAAUGACUCCAUGUAAUUGAUAAGUAAAAAAAUGUCUCUAAGUGUAAUUUUCUCUUUAUUAUUUUGUUUGGCAUGUCUAAUCUUGUUUUUAUUUCCCUCUCAAUGUACAAUUUAUUUGAUGUUUGACACGUCUACUCUUAUCGUAUCUUUCUUUACAGUUAUAACUAUAGCAUUUUCCCUACUUCAUCCUUUGUAUUUUUGUUUUCAUAGUUUUCUAUUAUUUUUUAUAUAUUUAUUUCGAUUGCAAGUGCUUACACCACAUUUAAAUACUUUUUUAUCCACAUCUUAAGUACUUUUUUAAUAUUAAACAUUCACAAUUGUUCGUAAAUAAAACCAACCAUUUAAAAUAAUAAAUGAUCUAUUCAUUUUUAUUUCAUAUUUUAGAGUUUAGUUUGUAUGAUAUGAUGAAAAAACAAGUUAUGUAUGAUAUUGAUAUAUUUUUAUAUAUAUGUAAACUUGAAGAAUAUUUUCUACUUAUUUUCAAGUGUAAUAGAAUUAUUGUGAUUAAUAACAUUUGCAAAGAAGUUUAAGAACUUUUAAAGUUAUUUUAUAAAAAAAAUCCUGAGUUGAAAAACUUAACGUUAAUUAUUUUCACAUUCUGUAGAUGAUUAUUGUUAUGAUUAGUAGCUUUCAAUAUUUUCAAUAGAUUAUUACUUUAUACUUUAUAAAUUAAAUAAAUAUAUUAUUAAUUAUAGGCUCCCGUCAAAUAUUUGGUCUGGAUCCGCCGUUGGUUAGCAGGAUGAAAAUAUAAACGUAGAUGAUGUUAUAACAUACAUCAAUAUCAAUUUAUGUUAGAUACCGCGGAGAUGCAAGUAGAAAGCAAGUUGUCGUGAGAAAUCCUACUAGUGAUGGGGGUAAUAAAACAAUUGUAUAUCAUCUACUCAAGUAGUCUAUAUUCUCACCAUUCAUCAUAGACUUUCUCUUUUACUUAUUACAAAUUGUGAUUUGAGAUGAUGUCUAACAAUUCACACUUUCUUAAUCUACCAUCUAGCUUUGCUGCUGUUGUGGUUGUUGUUUGUCUGAGCUACCAAAACUGCUAAUGAAUCUCAUAGCCAAAUCCAAAAUUACUGUCUUGAUGCAGUCUUUAUCUUCCUCGAGAAGGUUUCUUGGAGGGAGUGAGCUUCCUGAACCCGGCGUGUAAUAGCAUAACUACAAAGAGACACAGAGAAAGCAUUAUAGUCAUAACUGCCUGGCCAUAUAUAGAGUAGCUAAAUCGAACUUUGACCCAUCAGCUAGCUUAGUUACCUGAAUAACUGACCGCAAGAGCAGAGAAAAGAGCCAUUUGGACAUUCAAAAACGUCAGAAGUACCGCAGUCGCUGCAAGUAGGAGACGUAAAAAAAAAACGAGAUUAGCCUCAUUCUACAACAUACAUAGUCUAUCUUAAAAAAGUUUCAGCUUCUUCAAGAUCCCAAAACGUUCUUGCUAUAACCAUACAAGAUCACAUUCGACCCAACUUUCAAAACAUAACAUCAAGCUCUAGUGAUUAAAGCUAAACAAGUAAAUCUAGGGAAUGAUUUGAUCCAAAAAGAUCCCAAAAACCUAUAGAAAGUCCCUCUAUGAACACAUAUCAAAACGUUCUCAGCAUUCUGAGAUUCAAGUUGCAGAGCUACAAAUGCAGGACACAAACCGUUCCUUAAAAACUCACCGCACUGUCCAAUACCAAUAACGAGCUUCCGAGCAGAAGGGUGACGAUCAAACUCCCAUCUGUCACUGCAGUACUUGAACAGCUCCCAAAGUGCUAAACUUGCUAACAACCCCACCAAUGCAAGUGGCAUCUGAUACCUACAAAGAAACACCAACACUUCAAACUCCAUAAAGUUCUUAACUUUUUACAAAGAUUCAGACUUUAAACAAAAGAGAUAAAGAAACCCAUACAAUGCGCAAGCGAAGAAGACGAUGAACAACGUUGCGUAAUUCCUAGCGAAUCUCUUGAUAUUCUCAUGAACCCUCAUCCUCGCCUGCUGAGAAGACGCCGGGAACGAGUAUGAGUCGCACGCCCCGAAGAAGCCGGUGGUCCACGGCGGCGUAUCGCCUGAAAAGUCAUCGGCCGAGAGCUUGGAGAAGGGGUUGAUAGUCAGAAGAGACGAGAGGGUCAACAGACGAGACAAAAGAGAGGCGAAGAAGCCGCCGGUAAUGGAGGAGACGACGUCGUCCGAGGCGGAAGAAGGUGCGGCGGCAGCUGAGGAGGAUGAGGAGGAGGCGGGGACGGCGGCUGCAGCUGCUGCGGCGGAGGUGCGGUGAUCGAGGAGGUCGAGGUAGCCGGAGUCACGGAGCCAAGAUUCGAAAGCAGGAUCGGGAACGCUUAGAGAGAGAGGGUUGGGAGAGAAGGCCAUUUGUUGUUAGUUGUGGUCGUCGUCACGAUUAUCUUGUUCCGUCGUCUCCUCGGUGUUCACAAAACAUUUAUUUUGUCUUUUACAUAUAUUAGUCCAUAACUUCUUCGCAAUUGCUGAAGUAGUGCUCUUUGAUAAAAUCUUGUUAAUUAGCUCCUACAGUUUUGUUUUAUGCAACAAAUGAUUUGCUUCUCUAAAAUACAUAUUAUUGAAUACAUGUAUAUUGUUUUAAACAUUUCAUUUCAUUAGUUAAAAGUAUUUUAUGUUAAAAAGUAACUUUAGAGCAUUAUUAACCCAAAAACUCACUCUGGGUCUCUUAAUGAUUUUUAAAUAUUAAAUGUUACUUAGGAGAUCCAGUUAAGAGACAUCAACAUUUUUAUGCUCCAAUGGAAGUCUCUUAUUUAGGGAUUCUUAAAAAAAAAACAUUGUUUUUGAUUAUUGUAUAAUUUGUGAUCAAAAUGUAUGAAUUUGUGAUAAAAAUGUAUAAAAUUUUUUUGAUUAUUUUCUGAACAUGAGAAGAAUGGUAAGAGAAGAAAAGUUAUAUGUAUUGUAAGAUGCACGAGAAGAAAAGUUAUCAUGUAGAGAAUGGAGACACAGAUGUUGCAGGCUCCUCAGCUAUGGUUGGUUUCUUUGGAGGCACCGAGAGAGAUCCUCAAGGAAAGGUCCUUUAGCAGUAGGCACAUACACAGUUGCUAUGAGGAUAGUUCGAUUCUAUCACCACCAGCCACAAACUCUUCAUGGACGGCAAGUUCUCAUCUUUGUUGCAUUUAUCUGUAGCAAAUAUCAAGACAAAAGAUUAAAUAUGAGAAAUAUGGAUUAGGCAAAGCACUAAACUAAUCUUCACCUUUCGGUUUCCCGUAAUCAAAAACGAACAUCAAAAGAGCAUUAGCUCUCACACGUUGGAGAAUGUUCAUACCAUAAGCUAAACCAUGCUAACACUCCAUCCUCUAACCAAGCUAGACAAAAUGAUGGUAAGAUUCCAUUCUCGAUAGAAAGCUUCUCCAUUUUAUCAACCAUCCCAAUCUCGUUGUUUGUGAUCAAAGAAACAGAAGCACCAAAGCAAAAAAUCUAAUCCCACAUGAACUAACCAACCAACCAUAACAACCAUAAGCAAGCCUGCAUCACACCAAACCACCCAAUAACCUCAGAUAAAUAAAGCUGUCACAAGGACUUACGUUUUGGAUGUUCCUAUAAGAAUCAAGUGAUUAAAUGAGCCUGAUCUGCUGCUAUCACCAUUCUCUGACUCUACUACUACUACUACUGCUGCUACCCCUUUCUCAGGGUCUUUAUCACCAAACUUCUCACUAAUAGAGGGAUAUCCAUUGGCAUCUCGGUUUGGUGAUGAAACCUCAUCGGCUCUAAUCUCUUUGAUCUCUUCCUAUACCUCUGCUUUAUCCACCUGAAAAGGACAAAGAACCAAAGAGUUUAGAACUCAAGAACACUCAACAAUCUUUUGUAAACAAAGAAGAGGCAAUCAGAGUAACCAACUAACCAAAGCCGAGAGAAACUCAAAAGCUUAUACCAAAAGAUGGAGCCAUAUCCGAUUAUAAAGUUCAAAUUGGAAAGGAACAAGUAAAAAAGACAAGAACUUGAACAUAGACUAAAGGAGAAAUCAGAUUCAUACAAACAAGCAUUGUGUCUAAAUCCCAGAGUUUCAGUUCUCAGACCACUCGCCAGAUAAACGUUAAGCUGGAAAGAAAACUAACCAUAUAUCUAACACCAAUUCAGAUCGGAAUCAGGUUCGGGAUGGCCUUGUGGAUUCAUCAUCGGGAGAGAAUACUUUUUUAUCCACAUCUUAAGUACUUUUUUAAUAUUAAACAUUCACAAUUGUUCGUAAAUAAAACCAACCAUUUAAAAUAAUAAAUGAUCUAUUCAUUUUUAUUUCAUAUUUUAGAGUUUAGUUUGUAUGAUAUGAUGAAAAAACAAGUUAUGUAUGAUAUUGAUAUAUUUUUAUAUAUAUGUAAACUUGAAGAAUAUUUUCUACUUAUUUUCAAGUGUAAUAGAAUUAUUGUGAUUAAUAACAUUUGCAAAGAAGUUUAAGAACUUUUAAAGUUAUUUUAUAAAAAAAAUCCUGAGUUGAAAAACUUAACGUUAAUUAUUUUCACAUUCUGUAGAUGAUUAUUGUUAUGAUUAGUAGCUUUCAAUAUUUUCAAUAGAUUAUUACUUUAUACUUUAUAAAUUAAAUAAAUAUAUUAUUAAUUAUAGGCUCCCGUCAAAUAUUUGGUCUGGAUCCGCCGUUGGUUAGCAGGAUGAAAAUAUAAACGUAGAUGAUGUUAUAACAUACAUCAAUAUCAAUUUAUGUUAGAUACCGCGGAGAUGCAAGUAGAAAGCAAGUUGUCGUGAGAAAUCCUACUAGUGAUGGGGGUAAUAAAACAAUUGUAUAUCAUCUACUCAAGUAGUCUAUAUUCUCACCAUUCAUCAUAGACUUUCUCUUUUACUUAUUACAAAUUGUGAUUUGAGAUGAUGUCUAACAAUUCACACUUUCUUAAUCUACCAUCUAGCUUUGCUGCUGUUGUGGUUGUUGUUUGUCUGAGCUACCAAAACUGCUAAUGAAUCUCAUAGCCAAAUCCAAAAUUACUGUCUUGAUGCAGUCUUUAUCUUCCUCGAGAAGGUUUCUUGGAGGGAGUGAGCUUCCUGAACCCGGCGUGUAAUAGCAUAACUACAAAGAGACACAGAGAAAGCAUUAUAGUCAUAACUGCCUGGCCAUAUAUAGAGUAGCUAAAUCGAACUUUGACCCAUCAGCUAGCUUAGUUACCUGAAUAACUGACCGCAAGAGCAGAGAAAAGAGCCAUUUGGACAUUCAAAAACGUCAGAAGUACCGCAGUCGCUGCAAGUAGGAGACGUAAAAAAAAAACGAGAUUAGCCUCAUUCUACAACAUACAUAGUCUAUCUUAAAAAAGUUUCAGCUUCUUCAAGAUCCCAAAACGUUCUUGCUAUAACCAUACAAGAUCACAUUCGACCCAACUUUCAAAACAUAACAUCAAGCUCUAGUGAUUAAAGCUAAACAAGUAAAUCUAGGGAAUGAUUUGAUCCAAAAAGAUCCCAAAAACCUAUAGAAAGUCUCUCUAUGAACACAUAUCAAAACGUUCUCAGCAUUCUGAGAUUCAAGUUGCAGAGCUACAAAUGCAGGACACAAACCGUUCCUUAAAAACUCACCGCACUGUCCAAUACCAAUAACGAGCUUCCGAGCAGAAGGGUGACGAUCAAACUCCCAUCUGUCACUGCAGUACUUGAACAGCUCCCAAAGUGCUAAACUUGCUAACAACCCCACCAAUGCAAGUGGCAUCUGAUACCUACAAAGAAACACCAACACUUCAAACUCCAUAAAGUUCUUAACUUUUUACAAAGAUUCAGACUUUAAACAAAAGAGAUAAAGAAACCCAUACAAUGCGCAAGCGAAGAAGACGAUGAACAACGUUGCGUAAUUCCUAGCGAAUCUCUUGAUGUUCUCAUGAACCCUCAUCCUCGCCUGCUGAGAAGACGCCGGGAACGAGUAUGAGUCGCACGCCCCGAAGAAGCCGGUGGUCCACGGCGGCGUAUCGCCUGAAAAGUCAUCGGCCGAGAGCUUGGAGAAGGGGUUGAUAGUCAGAAGAGACGAGAGGGUCAACAGACGAGACAAAAGAGAGGCGAAGAAGCCGCCGGUAAUGGAGGAGACGACGUCGUCCGAGGCGGAAGAAGGUGCGGCGGCAGCUGAGGAGGAUGAGGAGGAGGCGGGGACGGCGGCUGCAGCUGCUGCGGCGGAGGUGCGGUGAUCGAGGAGGUCGAGGUAGCCGGAGUCACGGAGCCAAGAUUCGAAAGCAGGAUCGGGAACGCUUAGAGAGAGAGGGUUGGGAGAGAAGGCCAUUUGUUGUUAGUUGUGGUCGUCGUCACGAUUAUCUUGUUCCGUCGUCUCCUCGGUGUUCACAAAACAUUUAUUUUGUCUUUUACAUAUAUUAGUCCAUAACUUCUUCGCAAUUGCUGAAGUAGUGCUCUUUGAUAAAAUCUUGUUAAUUAGCUCCUACAGUUUUGUUUUAUGCAACAAAUGAUUUGCUUCUCUAAAAUACAUAUUAUUGAAUACAUGUAUAUUGUUUUAAACAUUUCAUUUCAUUAGUUAAAAGUAUUUUAUGUUAAAAAGUAACUUUAGAGCAUUAUUAACCCAAAAACUCACUCUGGGUCUCUUAAUGAUUUUUAAAUAUUAAAUGUUACUUAGGAGAUCCAGUUAAGAGACAUCAACAUUUUUAUGCUCCAAUGGAAGUCUCUUAUUUAGGGAUUCUUAAAAAAAAAACAUUGUUUUUGAUUAUUGUAUAAUUUGUGAUCAAAAUGUAUGAAUUUGUGAUAAAAAUGUAUAAAAUUUUUUUGAUUAUUUUCUGAACAUGAGAAGAAUGGUAAGAGAAGAAAAGUUAUAUGUAUUGUAAGAUGCACGAGAAGAAAAGUUAUCAUGUAGAGAAUGGAGACACAGAUGUUGCAGGCUCCUCAGCUAUGGUUGGUUUCUUUGGAGGCACCGAGAGAGAUCCUCAAGGAAAGGUCCUUUAGCAGUAGGCACAUACACAGUUGCUAUGAGGAUAGUUCGAUUCUAUCACCACCAGCCACAAACUCUUCAUGGACGGCAAGUUCUCAUCUUUGUUGCAUUUAUCUGUAGCAAAUAUCAAGACAAAAGAUUAAAUAUGAGAAAUAUGGAUUAGGCAAAGCACUAAACUAAUCUUCACCUUUCGGUUUCCCGUAAUCAAAAACGAACAUCAAAAGAGCAUUAGCUCUCACACGUUGGAGAAUGUUCAUACCAUAAGCUAAACCAUGCUAACACUCCAUCCUCUAACCAAGCUAGACAAAAUGAUGGUAAGAUUCCAUUCUCUAUAGAAAGCUUCUCCAUUUUAUCAACCAUCCCAAUCUCGUUGUUUGUGAUCAAAGAAACAGAAGCACCAAAGCAAAAAAUCUAAUCCCACAUGAACUAACCAACCAACCAUAACAACCAUAAGCAAGCCUGCAUCACACCAAACCACCCAAUAACCUCAGAUAAAUAAAGCUGUCACAAGGACUUACGUUUUGGCUGUUCCUAUAAGAAUCAAGUGAUUAAAUGAGCCUGAUCUGCUGCUAUCACCAUUCUCUGACUCUACUACUACUACUGCUGCUACCCCUUUCUCAGGGUCUUUAUCACCAAACUUCUCACUAAUAGAGGGAUAUCCAUUGACCUCUCCGUUGGUUGAUGAAACCUCGUCGGCUCUAAUCUCUUUGAUCUCUUCCUAAACCUCUGCUUUAUCCACCUGAAAAGGACAAAGAACCAAAGAGUUUAGAACUCAAGAACACUCAACAAUCUUUUGUAAACAAAGAAGAGACAAUCAGAGUAACCAACUAACCAAAGCCGAGAGAAACUCAAAAGCUUAUACCAAAAGAUGGAGCCAUAUCCGAUUAUAAAGUUCAAAUUGGAAAGGAACAAGUAAAAAGGACAAGAACUUGAACAGAGACUAAAGGAGAAAUCAGAUUCAUACAAACAAGCAUUGUGUCUAAACCCCAGAGUUUCAGUCCUCAGACCACUCGCCAGAUAAACGUUAAGCUGGAAAGAAAACUAACCAUAUAUCUAACACCAAUUCAGAUCGGAAUCAGGUUUGGGAUGGCCUUGUGGAUUCAUCAUCGGGAGAGAGACAGAGACGAAGAGAUGCAGACGAAGAGAGGAAGAGAAAAGACGAGACUGCCAAUUUUUUUCAUAGCGACACGUGUCUUAAGACACGUCUCUUCCAGGCCUUAAUUAAGAGACGUCUGCUGUGGUAGUUAUGAUUUUUCUUUUUUUUUUAAAUCACAAUUACAUUAAGAGACCUAUCUAAGAGACACGGUUAAUCAUGCUCUUACAUGGUUCCCAAAAGCAACACUAGAAUUUUAAAUUUUAAAUUUUUGAAUAGUAAAACAUCAAAUAUAUGAUUUCACUGUUCAAAACUUCAUAUUUAAAAAUUUCAUAUUUUUAGUCAAAUGUAUUUAUAUAUCUUCUAGAUUAUUUUAUUAACUUUCUUGUUUUAUCAUUCUAAUCGUUAAAAAUUUACUACAAGAAAAUGCUCAAUUCCAAAAAAAAAAAUUAACUUGUAAUAAUUUACAAAAAAAAGGAAGUUCAUAUAUCAUUUUGAAAUGUUUUAAUUGAUUAUAUAUGAAAACAAUGGAAAUAUUUAUAAUGAAUAAAUAUGUAAGUUUUACUAUAAUAUAAUUUUUAAUAAUUGGUUAAUUGUAUAUUUUAUUGUUAUUAUAGCUGAACCAUAAAACCAUAUAAGGCACAACAAGUUAUGUGCUUUGGCUACAGGUUUAAACAGGUGGAAAGGAUCAUAUUCAUAAUCAAACUCACAUUGAAUUUACAAGAGGGGGGCAAAACACAAUGCAGAUAGUAUUGACAAUAUAAAAGUGAUUAUGAACACACGAAUUAUAGUGUGAGAAACACUUGCAGACAAACAUGGACUUUUAAUAUUUGGAAAUAAAAAAAAUCAAAGAAUCACAAGAGGCGCCUCAUCGGUUUUGGCAGGUGCAGUCUCUUGUGUUGGUGGCGUAGUCUCAGAAGGAACUUUCUCAUCUGCCUUCACAGCUUCUGGAGUUGGCUCGGCUUUGGUUGCCUCAGAGGAGUCCUCUUUUGUCUCACCUUCCUUCUUUGCCUCAUCAUUAGACUCUUCUUUCUUCUCCUGUGAAUCAAACAUAUCAUAAACAAUAGUCUUAAGAGGACUGAUUUUCAAGCUAUGAUUAUACCAAAAAAAAGUCUCAAAGAAGAAAUCAAAUCAUAUCGAACAGAGAAAAUAAAUGAUACAAAUGGGAUUCACAAAACCUGAACUAAAGUGGUAUCUGUUUCAUUCUUGGACUCAAUAACAACAUUGUCGGUGGGGACAAGGCUUUCGACGAUGUCAGAUUCCUUAGGUUUGCUCCCACAGGCUCCCAUGGUUUAUUUGAUUGAAAGGAUUAGUUUGAAAAACAAUUACAAUGUGAAGAACCGUGGAGCAAAAAAAAUACUAGAUGAGAGGAGAAAAGAGAACUACUCGAGAAAAUAAGAGAUGCCAAACUAAUUUCUUGCUUUAUAUAAUUGGAGCCUGAGCAAAUGGAAAGGCCUGUGAAGAGAUAAAUAUAGGAGAUGGUAUAUGGACUAAGCUAUUUCAGGUAAAGCCAGAUUCAUUAGUCAUGACAUCUUCAAAUCUCUGUCACAGUCGAUUUACCCAGAGGACAACCAUUUUUCUCCACUGUUCUCUUAUGUUCGGUUAAGGGGCAACGGUUUCUUUUCCCGCUGGAAAUUUCCAAACUAACAAAGGAAUGAGUCACAGAUAACCAGACUUUCAUAUGUAAUUGUUAAGACCAAAUCAUGUGGGAAAACAUUUGGAUGUUCAGAUAUGUUUCCUAUUUGCCAAAUGUCAUAAUAUGAUAUUCAAGCCCUUCAAACGGGGACGACGACAGUGUCUCAUUUUUUUUAAACUGGAAAAGAUGAAUUUUCUGUUCUCUCAGGCACACACAUAGAAAUCUCUCAUUCUUUGUUUGGCUGGCUACUAUGGCUCCUCAGUGCGACUCUGAAGAGAAAAUACUGGUCCACCGGUGUGACCUGGUUUCUCUGUUUCGAAUGUUGUUGAGCCUGAUUGGUUUUUGGAGCCUUCUGAUAUCUCUUUCUCACCUAUGUCUUCCCAGUCACCUUCCAUUGCUGAUGUUUCUUGGUGUUCACUCUUUGGACCUUGGUUGACAAGGCUUUUGUACAUUGUUAAAGCUUGAGCAAUCAUGCUUGCAGGAUUUGAAGCUGUACUUGGAAGCAACAUUGUCGUACCCUAAACCCCCAAAAAAAGAAAAAAAAAAAAGCACACUCAACAUUAGAUAAUCCCAAGCAAUGCCAAAAUAUUUUAUAUGAGAUUUGUUUGUUUACCUCCUUGGCAAUGUUACUGAAGGCUUGAAUGUAUUGCUCUGCAACUCUCAAACUCGCAGCCUGCAAAUUGAACAGUGAUGAAGUAUAAGAUCACAUCUGGACGGCUAAAAAUACAAGCUUAAACCCAAGAACACGGAAACCUAUGUCUAGAGUGAAUAAUAAAAAAAUAUGAAGAAUUAAGUAACCAAGCUAGGUUCCUUAAAGCUCACCUCUACUCCCCCAGUUUCUUUGAGAGACUGAGAUAACAUGGCAAGGCCUCUAGCAGUUGCUUCUGCUCUAGCGAGUAUUGCUUCAGCCUCACCUGAAGAACAUUAUCAAAGGAUAAUAUAAGAGUAAGCAUGAGCCGUGGAGAAAACAGUUCCUCUGGGCACCAAGUAGCCAUCAGUAUAUAUUGAAAGAAUAAGAAAAUGGAACUAAGAAUUCUUCUAAUGAACCCAACUAACAGUUGACAUCACAAGUUACUCUAAUGUAUACUAACCUUGUGCUCGAUUCACUUGGUCCAUCUUUGCAGCUUCAGAUGCCAAGAUUACAGAACUUUUCUUACCAUCAGCAAUAUUGAUAUGGGCUUGCCUUUCUCCUGUUAUAUAUAGCAAAACAAAGGAUUAAAAGAUGUUAAGCAGGCUUCUUGUCUUUCAAAUGCAAAAUGGAAAACCCAAAAAGAAAGAAGAAGAUUUUAGCCAAGAAUAGUUUCGGCAUUAUGAGCUGUUCAAUCACAGAAUAUGACUUAUGAAGUACAAGUCAAAGCAGUAUUACCUUCAGACUCAAGAAUCUGGGCUCUCUUUUUACGUUCAGCUUCAGCUUGCAUCUCCAUAGCAACCCUCACGCCAUGAGGGGGCAUAAUAUCCCCUGGAGAUACACGAAUUAUAAAUAAGCAGAAAAGGAUAUGUAGGUAAUCACCAACAAAGAAAAAACAGAGAAGAACUCACUUAUCUCAUAACGAAGACACUGAAGACCCCAGUCUCUUGCAGCAACAUUGAUGGCUUCCUGCAAGAAUGUAAAACCGUCUAAAAAAUUCCAUCACAUGUGUUCUUCUUCAAUGUGUAUAUUUCCUCUAAGCUCUCUUAGUUAUUUGGAUUAGAGAGGUAACACAACUUGGGAUAUUGAACAUAUACAACAUGAGUAAAGUCUUUAGCUUUGAAUCUAAAGUCCUUCAACUUAGCUCAAGUAGAAUCCAAAAACAUUGCCAAAGGUGAUUACAUUUUACAACUAAACAUCCCAAGGCUGCAAAGUUCUAUAGAGAAUAAUAACAGCAAGAAAUUUAAUCAAGCUAACGUGACUUGAGUUUGGGAGAUUUCAAGAUUCUUUGAAAUGCAAUGGAACUGAAGUAUAAAGUGAGUUAAGUAAGCAGAGGGGAACGAACCACAAUCUUCUCGUUGAGAGUAUCUCGUUCCUCAAAGGUCUUAUCAAGCGUGAUCUUACCAAGCUCACUACGCAUGGUGGUCUGAGCCAGCUGAACAACAGCAUAGAUAGGACUCUCAACGCCAUAAGACGCUAACUUAGGAUCCACUAUCUGCAAAACACACAACAAAAAGAAAUAAAUCAAAACUAUAUAAAAAAAAAGCAAGUAAAACCACCAACAAAUGAAGUGGUAGAAGAUGACCUUGACAUAGAGAACGCCGUCGAUAUGGAUACUGACGUUAUCUUUAGUAAUCGCAGUCUGAUUAGGAAUAGGGAUCGCUUCUUCCUUGAGCGAAUGAACAUAAGCAAUUCGAUCCACAAAUGGAAUCAAGAAGUGAAUCCCCGACGGCAAUGUCUUGGCGAAUUUCCCGAAUCGCUCAAUCACAAAGGCCUUCUUCUCCGGUACAAUCCGGACUCCCCAGUUCACCGGCGGAGUUAACUGAAAGCUACAAUGAUAAUAUAUAAAUAUAAUAAAUCAAUCCCCAACUCAAAUCUCAAUUCAGAAAUGAUAAUGCCUCAAACAUCGUUCGCAUGUAGACGAAAUCAUCCUAAGCUGAAAAAAAACCUGUUGGAAGGAUAGCCGGCGGAGGUGAACUGGCGGACGGUUGAUACGGCGGAGGAAGAUUGCCGGAGGUAACCAACGGAUCUCAUGGCGGUGGCGGAACUUUUACGGAGGAGGUGAUUCAUCAUCAUCAAUCAGAGAAUGAAGAAACUGGGGAAAAACCCUUUGGAAGCAAAACCUCGUCGUGGACCAAACAAGGCGUCGUCCCGCAGUUUUCGUGGAGAGGAGCAAAUGUGAAAUGGGUUUGAUUAGUAGUUUGCUAGCUGUUGCUAUUGGGCUCAGAACUAGCCCAAUUGUAAACCAAAGUUUUGCAAUUUUGUUACGGUUUGAUAUUAUAUAGUUUUCUUAUGUUCAUUUCAUUGAUUCUGCCUUGUGUGCACUGUGCGAUAGUCUUUUUUUUUUUUCCGUCUAGUUUUUAUUUUCAUUGAUAACAAAGGAAAAAUACAAGAGUGGAACACUAGAGCCGGCGGAACACAUAACCAUCCCCGGAAACUUAACCCCAACAGAACCAAAGGGGAACAAGAACCCAAACAUACGGGUCACAUACAACAUCGAAAUAUAAAACGAAUCCUAAUGCUCCUUCAAAACACCCAGAACCAAACACUCAAAAGAUACAAGAGUAGUGACUUAACAAAGACUAUGACUAGCCGGAGAACUUGCAAAGAACUAAGCACAAGAACACGCAACGUAGAAGGCUUUUUCGUGAAGAGCAGAAACCUCAUCUGAACCGCACAUUCACGAUGACCACACCCGAACUAUAACGAUCUCAUCUGAACCACAAGUUCACGAUGACAACCAACGAACCACCACGCCAUACCAAAGCAGAAACCAUGAAAACAACAAUCAAAGGAAGACCCAACUCAAACGCACCUUCAUAUGGAAGCCUUCGCACCUCAGCCUCAUUAUACUGCUUCACAAAAGGAAGCCACCAAGGACAUACAAAGAGCAAAAGCAAUAGGGAAGUCACUUAUUAAAAGGGCGGAGGAGGGCCACUUCGAUACCUGGAGAUGAAAAGGUACCCUUGAACCAACUUCAUCACAAAGACCAAAACCUUCACCAGCUCAACACACACCACCACGUCACUGCUACACCGUUGCUAAGUCAAAGACCAACUAAGCCACACUCUCAAAACUAAGAGAUAAGAACCGGAUUCAAACCCUUUCAAAUUGUCACAAAACCACUUGGAACAGGCUGAAGACACAGCCACUGCAAAACAGGAGAGCCACCAAAGCUUGAAUCUUUACCUCGAUUGGAGUUUCAGACGGGGGCCAGAGAAAGAUGCAACCGUAUACACCUCCGACGGACAACCUUCUACACUUCCAGAUCUCCUAAAGUUUCAAAGGAUCUGAGAAAACAGAGGCUCUACAAACCAUUUUACAGAACACGGGUUAAAGAGACAACUUUAAGAGAAGAAGAAGGAGGAGUGAUACAGACAAAACACAGGAAAAAGAAAUGAUUUAGAGAUUAGAUUCGGCGACCGCGAGAAGCGGCGGCCGCCAGAUUAGGGUUUCAACACACA